This 240-nucleotide ribosomal RNA is filed under the name Sphingomonas sp. RNAcentral's name for it is "partial 16S ribosomal RNA". It matches the Rfam family "Bacterial small subunit ribosomal RNA", at positions 54 to 322 of the family's 1533-position model. The record is from RNAcentral. Lineage: Bacteria; Pseudomonadati; Pseudomonadota; Alphaproteobacteria; Sphingomonadales; Sphingomonadaceae.
CAUGCAAGUCGAACGAAGGCUUCGGCCUUAGUGGCGCACGGGUGCGUAACGCGUGGGAAUCUGCCCCUUGGUUCGGAAUAACAGUUGGAAACGACUGCUAAUACCGGAUGACGACGUAAGUCCAAAGAUUUAUCGCCGAGGGAUGAGCCCGCGUAGGAUUAGGUAGUUGGUGUGGUAAAGGCGCACCAAGCCGACGAUCCUUAGCUGGUCUGAGAGGAUGAUCAGCCACACUGGGACUGA